RNAcentral lists this long non-coding RNA (2218 nucleotides) under Olea europaea subsp. europaea. Lineage: Eukaryota; Viridiplantae; Streptophyta; Magnoliopsida; Lamiales; Oleaceae. The record is from RNAcentral.
CAAAAUUAUCAUUUAUUCUGUUAGUUCCAUUGUAUACAUUCUGCUCUUCCUUAGGAGAGAGUUCCUUUGUAAUUCUCGUUUAUUAAAGAAGUUUAGCUAUUUCUCUUACAUUAUUUUGAAGGUUCGCAUAUUUCAGUCACGCACUUAAUCCAACGGGUAAGAACAAAUCUGCUUACGAGAGGGAACUAAUGGCCAUAGUUUUUGCAAUCCAAAAGUGGAGACAUUACUUGUUGGGCCAAAAGUUCUACAUUUGCACAGAUAAAAAAAGUCUAAAGUUCUUAAUGGAGCAAAGGGAGGUGAAUCCAGAGUAUCAGAAAUGGCUGAUCAAAUUAACGGGAUAUCAAUUUGAAAUCAGAUAUAAACCUGGAAACGAAAAUAAGGCAGCUGAUGCGUUAUCUUGGAUCAGUUCCUCAGCUGAAUUACUUGCGUUAACAACUCCUAUAGUAUUGCAAUUGGGCAAGCUAGCCAAAGAAGUAGAAGCUGACCUACAGUUGCAAGAAAUCAUUCGGGACAUCCAGAAAAAUCCUUCCAGCAAGCCAGAUUAUGCAAUGGUAAGCGGUUAGAUGUUGUACAAAGGGAGGAUACUUCUACCUAAGGGAUCGAGGUUGAUUCCGUUAAUCUUACAAGAGGGGCAUGACGGAAGAAUAGGAGGUCAUUCUGGGUUUUUAAAAACUUAUAAGCGGAUUGCUACCAAUGUUUACUGGGAAGGAAUGAAGAAGGAAAUCCACCAGUAUGUUAGCAAAUGCACAGUUUGCCAGCAAAACAAGUACGUUAUUUGUCACUCGGGGGCCUGUUACAACCAUUGCCGAUUCCAAAUCAAGUUUGGGAAGAGGUAGCCAUGGACUUUAUUGAAGGGCUACCAAGAUCUGGAACUAUGGAUACUAUUUUAGUGGUGGUCGACAGGUUUAGUAAGUAUGGGCAUUUUAUUGGGCUCAAACAUCCAUUUACGGCGGUAAGUGUGGCGAAGGUAUUUGUUAAAGAAGUGGUGAAGCUUCGUGGGAUUCCCCGUUCCAUAGUAUCAGACCGGGACAAGGUUUUUAUGAGUUUCUUCUGGGAAGAGUUGUUCCGCUUACAAGGUACUACACUCAGCCGCAGUACAGCCUACCAUCCCCAGACCGAUGGGCAGUCUAAGGUGUUGAAUCGCACCCUGGAGACUUAUCUCCAUUGUUUUGCUUCAUCUCAGCCUAAAUCAUGGUUUAGUUGGUUGCCAUGGGCGGAGUUGUGGUACAACACAUCCUAUCAUACGGCAACAAAAAUGACUCCUUUCCAAAUUGUAUAUGGGUGUGAACCCCUACCACUGCUACGAUUUGAAAAAAGUUCCACACCAGUAUCAGUAAUUGAACAUCAACUACUAGAACAUGAUCACAUUUUGGAUGAGUUAAAGGCACAAUUGCUCCAAGCCCAGGCUAAGAUGAAAGGCAUAGCAGAUAAGAAACGGCGAGACAUCCAGUUUCAGAUUGGCGACCUAGUAUACUUGAAGAUUAGACCAUAUCGACGAAAGUCGUUGGCUGCACGCCCAAAUGAGAAGUUGGCUCCAAGGUUCUAUGGCCCGUUCACAGUGGAAAAGAAGAUUGGCCAGGUUGUAUAUAAACUGUCCCUACCUACAACAUGCCACAUCCAUCCAGUUUUCCAUGUGUCACAGUUGCGCAAGGCAGAGGGUGCAGCGCAAGCAGUGAAUGAGGUGCCUGACCAACUAAGUGAGGAGUUAGAAAUGAUGGUGGAACCUGUAGCAGUGCUCGGGGUUCGACCAGGGACAGGUAAUAACAUUAGAGGUAUUGACGUCUUAAUUCAAUGGAAGGGGUUACCACCACUGGAAGCUACAUGGGAAUCCUUUGACCGACUGAAACAACAAUUUCCCUCCUUUCACCUUGAGGACAAGGUGAGUUUCGUUGGGGGGAGUAAUGAUAGGCUCGCAGUCCAAGUCACAUAUCAAAGGCGCAACAAGAAUACAAGGGCAGAAUAGGAAAUGAAGAAGGAGAAAUAGGCACAUGCUCAAUUUGUUAGAAGGAAUCAUCGAGAAGCACGAGUAACCUAUAAAUAAGAGAAUAUUGACAGUUGAAAGGUAGGCAGAAAUUGGUAAUCUGUUCGAAGAGGAUUGGCUAUCUCGAAUAGCUAAAAUUAUCUUUUAUUCUGUUAGUUCCAUUGUAUACAUUCUGCUCUUCCUUAGCAGAGAGUUCCUUUGUAAUUCUCUUUUAUUAAAGAAGUUUAGCUAUUUCUC